GCCGGCCGCGGUGGCGCGUGCCUGUAGUCCCAGCUACUCAGGAGGCUGAGGCUGGAGGAUCGCUUGAGCCCGGGAGUUCUGGGCUGUCGUGCGCUAUGCUGAUUGAUUGGGUGUCCGCACUAAGUUCGGCAUCAAUAUGGUGACCUCCCGGGAGCGGGGGACCACCAGGUUGCCUAAGGAGGGAUGAACCUGCCCAGGUCAGAAACGGAGCAGGUCAAAAUUCCCGUGCUCAUCAGUAGUGGGAUCGCGCCUGUGAAUAGCCACUUCACUCCAGCCUGGGCAACAUAGCGAAACACCUUCUCU
Molecule: signal recognition particle RNA, 303 nt
Filed under: Aotus nancymaae (Ma's night monkey)
Lineage: Eukaryota; Metazoa; Chordata; Mammalia; Primates; Aotidae
Description: Metazoan signal recognition particle RNA (ENSANAG00000002065.1)
Rfam family: Metazoan signal recognition particle RNA
About the family: The signal recognition particle (SRP) is a universally conserved ribonucleoprotein. It is involved in the co-translational targeting of proteins to membranes.
Source: RNAcentral